UACAGGAGGGGGCAAGCGUUAUUCGGAAUUAUUGGGCGUAAAGGGCGCGUAGGCGGCUUGGCAAGUGGAAGGUGAAAUCCCUCGGCUUAACCGAGGAACUGCCCUCCAAACUGCUUCGCUUGAGACCGGGAGAGGUGAGUGGAAUUCCCAGUGUAGCGGUGAAAUGCGUAGAUAUUGGGAGGAACACCAGUGGCGAAGGCGGCUCACUGGACCGGUACUGACGCUGAUGCGCGAAAGCGUGGGGAGCAAACGGG
Molecule: ribosomal RNA, 254 nt
Filed under: uncultured bacterium
Lineage: Bacteria
Description: partial 16S ribosomal RNA
Rfam family: Bacterial small subunit ribosomal RNA
Source: RNAcentral